UGCCCUUCUGGCUGCCUCUCAC
RNAcentral lists this non-coding RNA (22 nucleotides) under Mus musculus (house mouse). RNAcentral also lists the same sequence under 1 other name. Lineage: Eukaryota; Metazoa; Chordata; Mammalia; Rodentia; Muridae. The record is from RNAcentral.